This 492-nucleotide ribosomal RNA is filed under the name uncultured bacterium. Its description in RNAcentral is "partial 16S ribosomal RNA". It matches the Rfam family "Bacterial small subunit ribosomal RNA", at positions 29 to 507 of the family's 1533-position model. The record is from RNAcentral.
AUUGAACGCUGGCGGCAUGCUUUACACAUGCAAGUCGAACGGUAACAGGCCUUCGGGUGCUGACGAGUGGCGAACGGGUGAGUAAUGCAUCGGAACGUACCCAGAGGUGGGGGAUAACGCAGCGAAAGCUGUGCUAAUACCGCAUGUGAUCUGAGGAUGAAAGCGGGGGACCGAGCAGCAAUGUUUGGCCUCGCGCCUUUGGAGCGGCCGAUGUCGGAUUAGCUAGUUGGGGGGGUAAAGGCCUACCAAGGCGACGAUCCGUAGCUGGUCUGAGAGGACGACCAGCCACACUGGGACUGAGACACGGCCCAGACUCCUACGGGAGGCAGCAAUGGGGAAUUUUGGACAAAGGGCGCAAGCCUGAUCCAGCAAUGCCGCGUGCGGGAAGAAGGCCUUCGGGUUGUAAACCGCUUUUGGCAGGAACGAAACGGUGUCCGCUAAUACCGGGCGCUAAUGACGGUACCUGCAGAAUAAGCACCGGCUAACUACGUG